Herpailurus yagouaroundi (jaguarundi) is the source of this 909-nucleotide long non-coding RNA. RefSeq lists it as uncharacterized. The record is from RefSeq and is a predicted model, not a curated record. NCBI's taxonomy places the organism in Eukaryota, Metazoa, Chordata, Mammalia, Carnivora, Felidae. The transcript is spliced from 2 exons.
CACGCGGGCGCUGGUUCUUCUGGAAGCUGCUCAGCGGUACGUGACCCGCGUUUCCGCUCACAGCUUUCACAAAGGCCUGGCGGAGGAAGCGAACGCUCUGUGUUUUCGACGAAAGAGAUGAACUGAAUUCCAAACGCCUCUCACCGAGGACAGGCCUCAGGAGAGCGAAGGCAAGAAAGAAACGUGGCGAAUCUAGGGAUUCCAUUGCCAUUUCAUUGAUGGUCGUCUUGUGGCCGGAGGGCUUCUGGCGAAGUACUGACGCCUACUUUAAAGAAAUCCGGAUUCAACACCAAGGGAGAGGUGGCAGAAGACAGAGGAGGCCACACAGGAGGCGGGGAGAACAGGUUUGGCUGUAAAGAGCCAAACUUCAGCGUCGCAUGUUUGUCUCUCUCGUGUAGGUCCGAAUUCGUCCUCGGAUGAUGCAACAACGCGGCCUCGUUUUCAGCGCAGAGAAACGUCCGCUUUCAACGUGCAAUCUUUGAGAGGGUGUGAAGAGGACUCUCAAACGUCUCACAGACGCCGGCUGACAAACGGGGGUUCUGGCGGCAGAGGCUGGGGUGACCCACGCACCACGCCGACGACGUGAGCUUUCGGAGUCCCAGCGCGGGACACAGACACGCGCAAGUUGCUCGCUCCCCUCAAGCGACGCCUGCAGACGCCGCCUGGAAUACACCUGUUCGUUAGCAGCUUGGUGGAAACAGACUACAGCACGAGCAGUGUUGGGAACUGCCAGUUAUGCAACCGGCCCACCGGCAGGAAAGAUGCUGCUUCUAACAACAAACAUCCUGUCCCGACGCAGCCCAGGACUAACUUUUCCAUGGACCCAGACAUUUUACACCCAGAAAAAGGGAACAUUCACAGUUGCAGAACUGUGAGUACUUGCAGUUAAAUAAAGGUAACACUGCCCAA